This 3404-nucleotide long non-coding RNA is filed under the name Sus scrofa (pig). RNAcentral's name for it is "lncRNA (ENSSSCG00040001889.1)". Lineage: Eukaryota; Metazoa; Chordata; Mammalia; Artiodactyla; Suidae. The record is from RNAcentral.
UUCUGGUGAGAACACUCUUCAGAGAGGUUUCUUCUCUCUGUGUCCUCAAAUGGUGGACAGAGAGAGAUAGAGAGAGAAAGAGAGAGAAUAAUCUCUCUAGUCUCAUAUUAUAGGUCCCAUCGUGCGGACAUCACCCUCAUGAUGUCAUCUAAACCUGAAUAUCUCUUAAAGGCUGCACCUCCAAACACCAUCACCUUCGGCAUUAGCACUUCAACAUAUCAGUUUUGAAUACAAACAUUCAAUUCAUGACAAUAACAUUCUCUAGUUGCAAAGCAAUAAAACUAAAAUUUAAUAACAGAACAUUAUAACAAUUAAUUAUCAUGAGGAAAUUUAAACAUUCUUCUUUAAACAAUACUUGGGAGUUCCCAUCGUGGCUCAGCGGAAACAAAUCUGACUAGGAACCAUGAGGUUGAGAGUUCGAUCCCUGGCCUUGCUCAAUGGGUUAAGGAUCCAGCAUUGCCAUGAGCUGUGGUGUAGCUCGCAGAUGCGGCUCAGAUCUGUCAUUGCUGUGGCUCUGGCAAAGGCCAGUGGCAACAGCUCCGAUUAGACCCCUAGCCUGGGAACUUCCAUAUGCCAUGGGUACGGUCCUAGAAAAGACAAAAAAAAAAGACAAAAAUAAAAAAAUAAAAAUAAAAAACAGUACUUGAGUGAAAGUCUAGUCAAGCUGGGUGUGUAAAAUUUUUACAAAAUAUCAAUAAUGAAUAUAUUGCCUGUAAGAACAAUACAGCCAAAAACCACACUCAAAAGAAAAUGUAAAGAUAUUGGAUGAACCAAUUAAAAAUAAAAGUAAUACAAAUCUGAAUCAACCAUUCAAGAAAAAAAAUGAUAAAUGAGAAAAUAAAAGAAGACAAAAGAAAUAGUUAAAAGCAGAUAUAAAUAAGUUAGAAAACAGAAAAUUAGUAGAAUAAAAAUGUUAAUUUUUGAAAAAAAAAUACACCCUCAGCUAAACUAGUUAAAGAAUAAACAGAUGGUGCUGGGGGGAAGGGGUGGGAGAGGAGUCGGAAACAUGCCAAUCAACCACGUAAAAAUUUUUGUGUAGAAAUAACCAUCAGAUCUGAAGACAUUUAAGAAACAAUCUUGAGCCAACUUUUUAAAAAAACCUUUACAAUUACAUAAAUACCGUAUUAAAAUGGGAUACAGUCUCAGAAGUUAUAAACAGAGUAAUUUCCGUAGAAGAUUUCCAUAGAAGGUAGAGAAGCUAGCUUCUUAAACAUCCUAGGGCAGAAUGAUUUCAUUUUGAAUUCUACCAAAACUUUUAAGAGCAAAUGAUGCCAGUGCCAUUUAAACUGGUCCAGAAAAUAGGAAAAGAAGUAAAGCUUCCAAACUUUUUAAAAUCAUAUUAAUAGAUCUAAGAAAAAAAUCAUGAGUAUUUCUGUAUAUGCUGAAAAAAUUUUUGAAAAAUUUGAGGAAAACAUUUUUUUUUUUGGCUUCAAAACACAUGAUUUAACAUGUUAAUGUCUGUAUCAGCCUUAAAAGCCAGGUUUAUACUUAAAAGAAAACAUUACACCUAUACAGACUGAAGUCAAGACUAAGACAAACUACCAGUAUCAGCACUAAUACUCAGCCUUGUUUUGGAGGUACUAACCUUCAGGCUGUUUGAAAUAUUACCAUGAUAAUAAAGCUAUAGGAGUAGAAUUAAUAAAUGAGAAUACACAGUUUAUAAAUCAAUAGUUAAUAUUUAUGCAAAGAAAACAGAAACACUAAUUCAAAAAAAUACAUGCAUCCCAAAAUUCAUUGCAGUAUUAUUUACAAUGGCCAGUAUAUAGAAGCAACAUAAGUGUUCUUUGACAGGUGAAUGGAUAAAGAAGAUUUGGUACACACACACACACACACNNNNNNNAGAAAAUCAUGGACUUGGAGAAGAGACUUGUGGUUGCCUGAUGGGAGGGGGAGGGAGUGGGAAAUAAAUCAGACAAAGAUAUAUUUCACUGUUAUGUGGAAUAUAAAAAACAAAAAAGCAAACUCAUAGAUACAGAGAACAAAUUAGGGGAGGAGGAAGGGAGAUGGGUGAAAUAGUAGAAGAGGAUUAAGAGACACAAACUUCCAGUUAUAAAAUAAGUAAGUCAUGGGAUGCAAUGUACACCAUAAAGAAUAUAGUCAAUAAUAUUGUAUUAAUUUAUGUGUAUGCUGACAGAUGGUAACUAGACUCAUAAUGGUGAUCAUUUCAUAAUCUAUAAAAAUAUUGAAUCACUAUGUUGUACAUCUGAAACUAAUAUUGUAAGCCACCAAAACUUCAAUUUAAAAAAAAAUCAGUAGUUUAUAUACACAAUUGGCAUUUGCUAAAUGCUAUAAUGCAAAAUAGAUCCUAUUUAUAAUAGCAAUAAAAGAUAAAAUCCUUAUAAAUAAGUUGAAAAAAGUAUUUAAGACCUAUACAAGAGCACAAGAGACUUGAAAAUCAGGAGACACACUGUGUUCUAGUUUUGCAGAUGCAACAUGGUAAAAAAUAUGUAAGAUCUCUGUAAAUUUAUUUGUGAAAUUAAUGUGAUUCCAGUAAAAUAUACCAAGGUUUUUUUAAAAAAUGGUGGGUUUUUUUUUUUUGGUUUUUUUAUUAGCCAGUACAUUUAUUAAAAGUUUUAGAAGUUCAGGGAAUCAAUAGGAAGAAAGGAGAAAGAAAGAGAAACACUGAGAAGUAGAGAUUAGCUUUACCAGAUAUUAAAAUAUAAUACAAAAUAUUAAUAGUUGAAACACUGUGGUAAUGAUGCCUGGAUAGACAAACCAUUGAAACAGACAGUCUAGAAAUAUACACUGAUGACUUGAGGUCAAUUUUGUAUAAACUACAAAGAACAUUUAAAAUUAUUGUGGAAAAGGAAGGAAAGAUAAACUUAUAAAAAAUGGGUGAUGACUAGAUUUAUAACCCAUAUUUACACUUGGAUGAAUUCCCAAUGAAUCAAAUGUUUAAAAGAAAAAAAUUGAGGCAAUAAAGUCAGUAAAGAAAACAAGCAACAACUAAUUGUAAAUCUAGUGGAAAAAACCUUCACAUUAUGACUAAGGAUUCACAAACACCAAGGAAAGAUUGAUAGAUUUUACUAUUUAAAUAUUGAUAUUUAAAAAAAACCUUCUAGAUGGAAAACAGCAGCAAGAAAAUAACCCAAUCUAUCAGUAUCGUAAAUAACAAUAACAAAGAUAAACUAGUAAAAGUUUUGCAGCCCACAUCACAGACAAAACUCAGUUCUUCUUCUUAAUGUAUCAAAAGUGCCUAGAAAUUUAAAAGCAAAAGACCAAAAGUCCAAUAGAAAACUGAAUGAAAUAUAUAGAAAAAGACAUUAAGAAAAAAAAAGAUCAGAGUUCCCUUGUGGUACAGUGGAUUAAGGAUCUACAUUAUCCUUGCAGCAGUUUGGGCUACCAUUGCACAAGUUCAAUCCCUGGCCUAGGAACUUCCACAUGCCAUGGGCACAGCCAAAAAA